AACGCACCUUGCGCUCCAUGGUAUUCCGUGGAGCAUGCCUGUUUGAGUGUCAUGAAUACUUCAACCCUCCUCUUUCUUAAUGAUUGAAGAGGUGUUUGGUUUCUGAGCGCUGCUGGCCUUUACGGUCUAGCUCGUUCGUAAUGCAUUAGCAUCCGCAAUCGAACUUCGGAUUGACUUGGCGUAAUAGACUAUUCGCUGAGGAAUUCUAGUCUUCGGAUUAGAGCCGGGUUGGGUUAAAGGAAGCUUCUAAUCAGAAUGUCUACAUUUUAAGAUUAGAUCUCAAAUCAGGUAGGACUACCCGCUGAACUUAA
This 311-nucleotide unclassified non-coding RNA is filed under the name Dikarya sp. RNAcentral's name for it is "partial contains 5.8S ribosomal RNA, internal transcribed spacer 2, and large subunit ribosomal RNA". The stretch from base 1 to 52 matches the Rfam family "5.8S ribosomal RNA", at positions 103 to 154 of the family's 154-position model. RNAcentral also lists the same sequence under 2 other names. Lineage: Eukaryota; Fungi. The record is from RNAcentral.